Molecule: long non-coding RNA, 1125 nt
Organism: Ctenopharyngodon idella (grass carp)
Lineage: Eukaryota; Metazoa; Chordata; Actinopteri; Cypriniformes; Xenocyprididae
Exons: 8
Source: RefSeq, a predicted model, not a curated record
GGUGGAUGUGGUGAGAAUGCUUAAGAGCCAGUAGAUCAAAGACAUCUAUGUUAGUAUCAUCAGGAACUGUUCGAUACUGCUGCAGAUCUGUCAAGCUGUAUUCCCCUGAUGGAACGAGGGUUACAUACGUAACCGAGACGUUUACAAUCUGAAAACAACAUAGCCUAGUUUGUCAUAUCUCUUCACCACAGACCAGGAAAAAAAAGAAAAAAAAAAAAAACAUGGACACAACAUGUUUAAAGCUGGGUUUCACCUUCUACAGCUUCCUCACUUUGGGUGGGUGCGCAGCUGUAGGAUUCGGUAUAUGGUCACAAAUGAAGAGCAAGACAUCUGACUUGUUAAAAACAGUUGAUGAUGCAAUACUUACAACGCUCCUGUCCCAGGGGGCCCCGAUGCUGAUCACUCUGGGAUGCAUCCUCAUUGUGAUGGGCGUGAUUGGCUGUUUAGGCACUUUGAAGAAAAAAAGCUGGAUGCUCUUGGUUUUUUUCAUCGCUAUGCUCAUCAUCUUAAUCCUCCAGGUCAUCGUGGCAGUGUUUAUGGUCGUCCCCAAUUCUGUGAAAGAAAAAUCCUUGAGGAGAUUAGAGAGAAAAUUUUUACAAAGCCUUGAGAAGAACUAUAAAGUUAACUCUUCAAUCACUGACAUAUGGGAUGAAACCAUGAACAAGCUGCGUUGCUGUGGAUACAAAGGCUAUGAUGACUUCACACGUUCCCCUAGGGAAGAAGAACAGAAGAACUUGUAUCCCAAACAAUGCUGCAGUCAAUUUUCAAAAACACAUUCAACAUGUAGUAAAGAACAAGCUGAGAAUAAGAAAGUAAGGGGCUGCAUUCGUCUGCUGUUGAACGAAAACAUUACCAUUUCUGGAGCUUUGUACUUUUUGAUCGGCAUUCUAGAGAUUGUUGCCUUGGUUGUUUCCCUGAAAGUCUACCAAUUCUUGAAAAGCAUCCCGGACCCCUCUUAAAAUAAUCAGUGAUCUUUUUAUAAAUGUGUGCAAUUUCUUUUUGUUUUAGUAUUGCUUUUGCAUUUAUCUUUUGCAUUUGUCUUCAGGGGGGGAAAAAAUCACAUUUUGUUAUGAAAGGUGAAUAUUAAUGUUGAUAUGUCUAUCAAAUAUAACAAAGUGCAUAGUG